Corylus avellana is the source of this 82-nucleotide small nucleolar RNA. RefSeq annotates it as small nucleolar RNA R38. NCBI's taxonomy places the organism in Eukaryota, Viridiplantae, Streptophyta, Magnoliopsida, Fagales, Betulaceae. The record is from RefSeq and is a predicted model, not a curated record.
UGUUGUGGAUGAUGAGUUCAUCAAUCAUACAGUUAUCCCUGUCUGAUGCAUUGAUGCUGAUUAUUUGUAUUCUGACACACAU